Neofelis nebulosa (Clouded leopard) is the source of this 23263-nucleotide long non-coding RNA. RefSeq lists it as uncharacterized. Lineage: Eukaryota; Metazoa; Chordata; Mammalia; Carnivora; Felidae. The transcript is spliced from 2 exons. The record is from RefSeq and is a predicted model, not a curated record.
GAAUUGAGAUUUAAAUGAGCAUAAAUUCAAAUGUUAUCUUAAAACAGAGUAGUAAAGCUUAGAAAAAAGUGUCCAGCAGUUUCUAGGAAAAGCAAGUGGAGGAAAAAAGUGAAUGAAAAUACACAAAAGUUUCUCAGGAUGUUCCCCAAAGCAUAGAAUCCUCAGAGGGUUUCCAAUGAGUUUUGAACCUUACCAUUAAGUUAAAUGUGUCAUUUUAGUCUUAACUAGUCUUCCAAAAUAAGUAGAAAUUCUAAAUAAUAUUUUUUUUUCACAUAUGUAAUAUGGAUUCCAUGCCAGUUGCAUAUUCCUCAAGCCAAAUAAAUGAAGGAAUGAACAAAGGAAUAAUGAUUAAAAGAAGGCUACUCAUCAGCUGCCUUUGGUCUGUGGUGCUUGCGUCACCACCAAUAGAUUAGUGGGGAUGAAUCCUACCAAUUAACUUGAAAUGAAAUAGGUGAAAGUGCUUCUCUACAGCAGUGUGAAACAUGAAAAAGCAUACAUUUCUUUCAGUACUUUGGGCUAUAUAGUCUGCAUAAGGUUAGAAAGAUAAACUUUUCCUAAGUUGUUCCCCUCCCAGGGAAGUUAUUUCCAUGAUCAUUACAGGAGCUUAGAAGCAAUUCAGGUAUUAAAUAUAACUUCUGGCUUUCAAUAUAUGAAUCUUAAGGAAAUCUUGAACAUUCUAAAGGCAUUCUGGAAUAGAGCACUCUAUUUCCUUUUAUCAAAGGCUUUACCGUGGGUAGUAAGAAUAAGAGACCCCUCUUUCCUGGUGUUUGUUUACAAGGGUGUAAAAUACUUGAUAGAGAAGUUAAGACACAGAAAACAAUAAUACUAAAUGGUUAUAAAAUAUUGUUAUAAAUCAACUGUAAGUGUUUUAGAUUAUGAAAACUUUGUAAUUGCUAAGAAAUAACUUGCUGAAGGAUUGUCCCAAACUGGAAGAUCUGUGGUUUCAGUGAGUCAGUAUACACAUUUUACAAAAUCGCGUACUUGGUGGUGGUGCACUUUGCAGCAGUCAUUUUCUUUACCAUUUGGCCAUUAAAUAUAUUAAUUCAGUUUCUGAAAUACAUGGAGCUAAUCUUUUAAUUCUGAGCCUUAAUAAGUAUUAUUCCCUCUGACUAGGUAGAAUGUUCUCAUUAGGAGUCACAUGUCUGAUUCCUUUAUAUGCCAAUUCAGAUGCUACUUCUGGGUAGCUCAUCCCAACUGCUUCCCCCAUAGACACGUAGCUUUGGAGUCUCUUUACACUCACCCUGUAUUCGUUCCCACCAUGUCUUCUUCAUCCUGGUUAGUUUCUUUGAAUUUUGUCAGCUCAAACCAAAACCCUCCAAAGAAUGCUUGAUUGCUCAUUUUUUUUUUUUCACUACCUUAUGCUCCAUCCCUGUUUAUAUCAUGUCAGCAGGUACUUUGGUCUCUGCCUGCAAAGUGUGUUCUCAAUCAGACCAUUUCUCUCGAUCUUCAUUGUUAAUCAGUCAAAGCCAUACCGUUUUAACUGGACAAAUGUAGUGCCGAUUGAGUGUUCUUUUGGCUUUGAUAAUUGUGCCCCUAUAGUUACAUCAGCAGCCCCAGUGAUCUUUUAGAACAUAAAUCAAGUAGUGUCCAUUCUCUGCUGAGAAUACACUAAAGGCUUCCAAUCAUACUUAGGAUUAAAUUCAGACCCUUUAACUUGCCCUACCAGCCCUGCAUAAUCAGGCUUCCAUUUCUCUGUCCAACCUUACUAUUUUUUUUUCAAAAAUUAUUCUUGUCCCCCCUGGCCGGCCACAUUUGAGCCACACUGACUCCUUUCCUCUUUCUUGUACACCUCAAACUCAUUCCUACCACAGAACCUUUGUACCACUGUCCCCUUAUCCUGAAACAGUUUUCACUGCUCUCAAUGUACUACCCCUUGUUAGUAGUAGCAUGGGGCCCUAAGGCUAUAUACCAUUUUAUCCUGUGUUUAAUUCAGUUUCUACUUAUCUGAACUAGAUAAGCAGAGGGCCAUGUGGCAUAUAAUGGAGAAGUCUUGAACCAGUGAAAAAAUUAUGGACUCUGAACUACCACUUAAAUAAUUCUCACAGUUAACUAUUAUUAGCACUAUUAUUAGCCUUGUUGCUUAAUAACUACUUAAUAAAGCAGAGAUUGGGGUAGAACUUGAAAACAAUUUAUUGGAUAGCUUCAAGUAAUAAGAAUGAGUCCCACAGAGGAGAGAAAUAACUACUAGCAACUUUUUGGGGGGAGAGGAUUAAGCCACAAGCCAUAAUAAUUUGCAGCAGCAAACAUUGUAAUACUAAUCAGUCAUGAAUCACUUAUAUUUGUUUCUUAUUCAAUCACGGCUCAGUGGUUGCUUUGGAAGUUUGCGUUUUCUCUGACAGAUUUUUCUUUGGUAGCCUUUUAAUUUGAAUUGAAUUGAAUUGAAUUGAAUUUUUUUUUUAGAUUUUAAAAAUUGAGGUGUUAAAUUUCGAUUCUCAUCUACAUCACUAAAGUUCCUUCAUAUUCUCUAAAAAGACCCAGAAUGUCUCUGUCCAGUGUUUGAAAAGAAUUCUUUCAUCUCCCCAAAUCAUGUGCCCACUGGCUCAUUGGACAGACAAUCUGAAAUCUAUGCCAGGUCUGUUAUAAAUCACAAGCCUGCAUUUCUUGUGCCAGGUUCUACUCCGGGCGCAGGUGGGUUUCUGCACAGCCAACCCGCCAUGGCACUCUACCACCUGGUGAAGAAAUCUGUUAGGCAUAGGAGAAGACUCUUUGUGGCUUUUAUUGACUCUUCUUUUGCCUUUGAAUCUGUGAACAGAAAUCCACUAUUGAGUAAAGCAACAUGAAUUCAAUUCAGACCCUGCAUUAUUGAUUUUCAAGCAGAACCAGGGCCAUAGUACUGUUGCACUGUUGGUUACAUUCAGGAUCAAUACGAAUGUCUCUUGAGAAAUCAGAGGGCAGUUUUCAUUGGAAUUAGACAGGAAUGUGUUUUGUCUCCCAUCUGUCCACAAGUUUUAAGUUCUUAAUGAUUUAAUUUCCAUUUUUGGACGAAUUAGAUCCACUAUAUCCCUAUUCUGGAGAAUAGAAAGAAAUGCAUCCUCUAGUAUGUAGAUGAUGUGUUUAGUAAUAGAAACUAAGGAUAUUUAAAAUCAUCCACUGACCCGGCUAAUCAGUCCCUGUCAUGAGUUAAUUAUUUUAAAACCAUUAUUGUGAUUUUACUUGAUACCUCUUGCAUUUAAAUUAGUAUAAUUGGAAGUCUGAAAAAACAAGUUGCCUCAAUUUGGUACACAGGUUUGCAUUUGACAUCUAAUUCCUCUUAUAAGAAUCAGGAAAUUACAUGUUUUUAAACUUUUUAAAAAUAGAGAGAGGGAGAGGGAGAAUUCCAAGGAGGCUUCAUGCCCAGCACAGAGCCUGAUGCAGGGCUGGAUCUCACAGGCAAUGAGAUCAUGACCUGAGCCAAAACCAAGAGUCGGAUGCUUAACCGACUGAGCCACCCAGGCGCCCCAGUAAGGUACAUUUCUUAAAGCUGGGCCUGCUGAGGGCCCAGCCUAUGAGUGUUGGAGUAUAUUUGCUUUGAACAUCUUCCAGUCCAAAAUCGUUGCGGCCAUGCUCUGUGGAUGAACUGUAGGAAUUUGAUCACCCUUGGGUUUGUGUGAGAGUGAAUUUGGCCUCCACACUUCUUCAGGUCAUCUUAGGAGAGUUGAGUUGAACUUCUCUUUAGGAUUGCAUUCAUUCUUUUUAUUUAGCUCCUUGCACAUGUCCGUCAGCCCUGCUCUGCACAGUCAGGUUGUUGAAGCAUAUAAUCACCUUGCAUUUAAUAAGCUACAUAGAGUUACUGUUCUACUGGGGAGUGUACUUGCAGGGACGCCUAAUCUCAAAUUUAUUGCCACCCACUCAGUAUCAUUCAGAGCUUGCUUGAGAAUUUAGGGAGAACUGUUUGAACAAAGCAGUCCAACCAUUCUUCCAGAUAACCAAAAUCUAUCUCCGGAUUUAGUGGACCUUUGGGAAGUCCCUUACUUUGACCGCAACGUGUUGGUUCUCUAAAAGCUUGCUUUGAUUAAAUUCCACCUUGGUGUUUUAAAAAGAGAAUUCACUUGAGUGUUAACAUACUUGCAUUGUAAUUCAGGAGAUGUAUCUUUUUUUUGCAAACUAAAUUAAAAGGUAUAGCGACCAUUCAGAGAAACCAUCUGUCACUACUUGACUGUUAUAAUUAGGUUCAUAAUUUUUAAUGACAUUGUCAUAUGUUGGAAAAGAAAAGCUUUAGGACAUCAGUUGGAGGUUCUGCCCCUUCUCUGUAAGGCUGUAGUAGUUCAAUAUUUGGAAACCUCUUUGAAUAUUUAUCUUUCAAUUUUUUAAUUAUAUUUAUUUUUUUUGUUGUUGACACUGCUGAUGUGAUGUCUUCUUGUAUGUGAUAUUCCUUACUAAAUAUUUCUUCAUUUAUAUAAAUACUCUGCGACAGGCAGUCUUUAAUUUGAAAUGUGAAUUUAUACCUCUGUGUAUUACUCAGGUAAGUACAAAACAUAGGAAAUUAGUAACUGUACUUUAGUUGUACACUAAAAAAACUUUAGAAUUGGUUUCCAAAAUCCAUUAUGCUUCAAAUAAUUUUACUACUCCGUAAUUAACCAUGAAAUUAAAAAAAAAGAAACCCCAUUUCAAUUUUCUAUGUCUAUUCAUUCCUUUGACAAAUAUUUAUUUUUAUGCCUGUUAGGUACCUGGCACCAUGAAAACCUGUGCUCAGUUCUGUUCCUCUGUUAUAAUUAUUUAAUGUUUUGAAAUUAAAAUAUUUUGUGUUUAUAUGUUCUGUUAGUUAGAGAUCAUGUGAUGCUGUGUCACCAAAUACCGCAAUAAUAACAGCCCCAAAAGCCAGGAUGCGCCAAAUUAUAUUUGGUUUAUACUUAAAGAUUUAAUUGUUUAGAUGCAUGUUUAGAUGCAUUUAAUUGCGUGUUUAGAUGCAAUAUUUAAUAAGUUUUGUGUUCCAUCAAAAUUUAUAUUCUUUCCAGAACAACUUUUGAGUUGAAAAUUAAAUCGACCAUGUACAAUUCUUGAUAAAAUUAAACUAUUUUGUCUCUAAAAAUUGAGUCAUAUGAUUUUGACACUUAGCAAAUAGCCUGUUACAGUAGAUAAAAUUGCUUUGUGAUCUUAGCAAGUUUGAAAUCAUAAGUGACUCUCUCGAGGUCUUAGUAGCAUAUUAUAAAUUUGCUAUCUUGUGAUUAGAUAAGCCCAACAAAUUCAUACCAAAUUAGUCAAGAUACACAUUUUACUUUGUGCCAAUAGAUUUGUCAGCUUUUAGGUUAUUAUUUUUUUAACCAAUAAGUAGAAGUAUAGCUCUGAUUUGUUAUUCAUUAGCAAAGUACAACUGUUUUUUAAGCCAUUCGGAUUAUUUGGCAUUUAAGCAAUGCUUUCUACUUUAAAUGAUGCCAUUAUCACUUGAGAACUCUGCCUAUCACUUUGGUUAGUCUAGAAACGCAACUCGUUAUAGGAUGAAGUAGAAUAACUACUUAAUGAGGCAGAAUACAACUUUACAACCAGAAUAUGGGAGAAGUCCAGUUUACCUUUAAAACUGUUUGGUGUCUGCAUGGAAAAAAGUGUUAAUGUGCCUCGUAAAAUUUCUCAAGAAGUAUGCAAUGGUGAAUACAUUUCUUGUUCUACAUGAUUUCUUUCUGGAGAGUUCCUUUAAUCUAUGUAAAGUUGCCCACCUGAUAUUUGGUUGAGUUUGUUGAAAUGUAUCCAAAAUGCAAAGUAUCUCACUUGAACUACUUGUUGCAUAUAAUCUGGAGAAGACAAAGGUAGGAUGACUUCACAGGGAAGAGAACGUAAAUGAUUUCUUGAGAUCUCUCCCAAUACUGAGAAUGUGAUUUUGUGAAUUGAUGUUUAUAUUACACUUGAGUUAGAAAUAAGGAAGUAUUUGAAAACCAUGUGGCCGAUUAAAUACUGGACCACCCAGAAACGCCAUUCAGUGUCCUAAAACAAAGGUCUUUAAACCUGGGGUAGCUCACCACAUGUCUUGUAUGAGAGUGGGCUUUCCUUGAGCAAGAGAGCUCUAUGCCAGAUAUCCUUUGUGCCUAUAUAAAUGCAUCUCUCUGCCUUUCUUUCUUUCUUUCUUUCUUUCUUUCUUUCUUUCUUUCUUUCUUUCUCACUUUCUCUCUCUCUCUCUCUUCCUUCCUUCCUUCCUUCCUUCCUUCCUCACUAGCUUGCUCACUCAAGAGAACUCUAUGCCAGAUAUCCUUCGUGCCUAUAUAAAUCCAUCUCCCUUCCUUCCUUCCUUCCUUCCUUCCUUCCUUCCUUCCUUCCUUCCUUCCUUCCUUUCGCACUAGCUCGCUCACUCAAGAGAGCUCUAUACCAGAUAUCGUUCGUGCCUAUAUAAAUGCAUCUCUCUGCCUUUCUUCCUUCCUUCCUUCCUUCCUUCCUUCCUUCCUUCCUUCCUUCCUUCCUCCUUCCUCCUUCCUCCUUCCUCACUAGCUUGCUUACCCACUCGCUUGCUAAGAAUGCAGAAGGAGUGUAAUAUACUGAAUUCCUCUUGUACCACUGGUUUACUUUAGUCUCCUGCUUAUAUUGAGCCCUGGAUUAUUUUGGGUUAGCUUGUGAAUUUAAUGAGAUCAUAACACAUUGUGAUGGGUAUGACUGCAGAAUGGAAAAUGUCACUACUACGUGCCAGUUCAUUUAAAUCAUUUUUAAGUAUCCACCUGUGCUCUGAACUCUCCAUUCGAAUUUUACUGGCUAAUAUGUUUUGCUCCAGUUUCGGUUCCUUUAACUCUUAUACUUUGGUAAGUUAAUCUGGGAGCAUGUGCUCUCGCCCUUUCAGCUUCUGUUCUUGUUCUAAUAAAGGCCCCUCUGCUUGAUGGGUAGGCAUAGAGGGCUUUCUUAUUUUAAAAAUCAAUUUGAAAAAAGCAUAGUUUGUAAAGGGCAAGAAGAACCGUUAAACUUUAGAACAUAUUAUUUGGGAGAUGUUCACUUUCUGCUGUUGAUGUGCUGAAAUGUAGUGAAUGAGAAAUUGCAUCUAAAACAAUGCUUUUUUUUUUUAACUACUUUUUUUCCGUCUUCAGUGCCUGCCUGUUUCUGUGUUUUAUGAAAGUCUGCCUUCUCUGGUAGGGGCUUGGUGAUCUGGGGACAAGACAGCUCUGGGGAUUAACCUGUCUGCCUCAGACUGACUCCCUUUUUCCUUUUAAUCCUGCUGCCCUGUUAGUGACAUUACCAUGAGAAGGAGGAGGGAAUAAAGGAUUAGUGUAGAGAAGAAUGGCAGUUUUGAGGGUCUGAAAGGGUAAAAAGAAAGAAGGAAAAGGAGAGUAGAAAAAAAAUCUCACUGGAGGCAGGAGGUGAACUUGAGUUCUGGGAUCCCCCUUCUUUUUGUCCAGAAUAUAUUUAGGUUGGGUAGAUGUGGGGAGACACUUGAAUAGUAGGAGCAGCUGUGAUGCUGUAUAAUUAGGGGUGAAGCUUCAGUACGUGGGGUAGAACAUGGCUCUAAGGGCCUCCUGAAGUCCAACUGUGUAACCUUGGGCAAAUUAGUUAGCCUCUUUGGGCCUUGGUUUCUUCAUCCGUAAAGUGGGGAGACUGACAGUAGGGCUUCUUAAGAGUUGUCACGGGGAUUAAAUGAGCAACCAUAGGAAAAGUGCUUAGGAAAUGCUUAUUUAUUUGUAAGAUUCAUUUUUAAUAAUUAUUAGGAGUGGGAAUAGCAACGUGGAUGAUUUAAAAAACAUGAUUUGUGAGUCAUUUUAGAGAGAAAUAGCUCAUUGCUAAUAUAAACAGACCAUACUGGAUCUUCAAAGAAACCACUCACUUAUCUGAUUUUGUGCUUCUACUGUUGACACAAUGUCUUUCUCCUAGAAACUUUUACAGAUCCUUCAGGGCCCAUCUCAAAUGCCAUCUUCUUAAUGAGUUCCUGCUGAUACCUCUGGGCAGAAUUAUUUGGCUCCCUCGGGGGGGGGGGUCCCAUGGCACUUAGUUAAUAUUGUUAAUAGGACACUUAUUUCGUUAAAAGUAGAUCAUCUUUUUAACAUUUGUGUCUUCUCUCCUUGCUGACAAAUGCAGAUUCUGAUAAUUUUAAUAUUCAACAUAUGUAGUCUGUGUAUACGAAACAGGUAGAUGUUGUUGACAGUUGAUUAGGAAAGAUAGAGGAUUCUUCUAGUGUUCACUGGUAGGAUUCUCUUAAUACCUGAACCACCGCCAUGCCUUUGACCCUGCAUAUAAGAUCCCAUCUAGACAGUGUAAUAAAUACCUGCUUCACAUCCUCAGAAGUGCUCAAAGGAGCUGGCAAGCUGAUCUGGGUGGUUAUGGAAGAGAAAUGUUUAUUUUAUUGUUCUUUCUCUGUCUCCUCCUCCUUCACUUCCUCCUCCUCCACUUCCUCCUCCUCGUGCUCUCCUUUCUCUUACCCCACCUCAGUUUUGGGGGUAUAGUUAAUUUAUUUAAAGCUCCUGUUUCAGUUUGUUCAUCCACUUAGAAAUACAGUUAAUCUUAGUAUAAAUAGACUUUCCAUGAAGUAUUGUAUCACAGUGUCAUGGCAUUUUAAUUAAUAACCAGCCGAAUAUUUUCUGAUUGUAGACUACUUAUGUACACUUGCAGUAAUUCCCUUCCAAUCUGUUAUUGCAUCAGUGUUUUAUCUUGCAGCAGAUGGUAUCCUAUAAUUAAGAAAAAAAGAUAGUGUUAUUAUGACACUGAAUUUAAGAAUAAUAGCCAUAUACAAAUCUGUGGGCUAGGCUGAUGAGAAAUACAUACUGGUUUAUUUUUCUUAAAUGGCUUAAUAAUACGUGUUUUGUUCUGAUAUCUUUACAGGCAUAUUAGAAAUCAUCUGUAUUACAAUGUUAUGUCAUCUAAUCCAAAGGGAAAUAGCGCAUGGGCAUGUAUAGGCUUUUAUUUAUAAAUGGGUCAUUGAGAUAUGUUUCCUCUCUAAGAGGAAAUUCAACCCUACAAAACAGGAAAGAAUUGUAGAAACUCCCAUGUGCUUUGGAAAGUGACUUUUGCUCUCAUAUCGGGCUAAUGAUUGCUGCAUAUUAUAUCCAUCUCACUCUGAGUCACCUCUAUUUAAAAAUUAGAUAAAACUCAUUAAUAUGAAAAGGAGAGUAUUAGCAACGCCAUAGAUAUUAGUGUGUUGCAAUGGUGCUAGUAACCGGCCUUGGCUUGGAACCAGAUCCGAGAGAUUCUGUAAAGAAAUGCCAUGGUGGUGCUUCCAGUUAGCCAGGUUUCUUUCAGAAAAUUAUAAAGGAAUCUUCCAUGUAAACUGAUUGUCCCGCUGGUUGUAUUUUAUCACCCGAAGAGGUGGCUCUGUUGAACAGAGAACUGAAUGCCCAGGUGUGGGUCCUGAUUUUGCAACUUUCCUAGUUGUGUGAGUUGGGGCAAGUAAUUUAUGUUCUCUGAGCCUCAGUCUCUUCAUAUGUAAGAUGGGAAAUACUUAAGUAAUUGGCACUAAAUUUUAUCAAUAUGAAAAAUAUCCAUAGAAGCCUUCAUGACAUCAGUGAAGUUUGAGCCUAUAAAGUCAUUAUUUCAGUGAUUUAAGGAACUUAGACAUACAGUGCACCUUUGAAAAUCUCUACAGUGUUAUAUUUGUAAAUGACAGUGAUGGUAAGGUUUAGUAUGUAAGGCUAUUUUGCAAAUGGCAUUAAAUGAUUCCAAUUACUUAUGACUCUAUUUCAUUCAUAGAUGGAGACAGAACCCCGUUAGGACUGGGGACAGUUUCUUUUAAUUUCAUUAUGGCACACAAUUUAGUGAAGAGGGAUAGACCCCUUUGAGGUAGAUUACUAAGUCAGCUGUUUGAAAUUCUUUGUGUAAACCAUCCUAGGGCCCUUGCAGCUAUAGAAAUAGGAAAUGUAAUUGCCUUCAGUAUUCCCAGCUCUUUGUUUUGUCAGUGUUUUACAGAUUUCAAGGUGUUUUUGAAAAAAUAAAAUUUAUUCCCUUACUCAACAACAGGUUAGAUGGCACACAUCUUGGGGAAAUUAUCCUGCAUUGGUAGGGGAAAGAAAGAUGUAAAGAUGAAAGAUAUAUGAUGCCUUUAAAAAACUCUGGAAUUUUUGGAGGGGAGAUAAAACUAUAUCACUGAGGCAAUAAAAGAAGACAAGUAGAAUGAAGUUAUUAUCGAAAGAGAAGUACAGAGCCUUACAGUAAUUCAGACCCGGGAGACAUUACUUCUAGUGGUGAAAAUUGGCAAACUGGUGAACGUUUCUCAGGAUGAGGGUGGUGGAAAGGGAGAAAAGGGCAUUUGGGGGUCGAGGGGGACAGUAGGAGUAGUGGCUUAGGAAUGGGAUGAAGCCAGUGUUGAGUAGCACCUACCAAAAGGAGCAUGGUGGGAACAUUAGAUUAGAAAACAGCGCAGUGGGAAAAUAAGGAAAAAAGGUAGAAGUAAGUCAGAUUACAAAUUUCCUGGAUACCUGGUCAAAGAACUUGACCUGGAUUAUUUUGAAAUUUGAGGAAGUUAUUAAAGGUUUUUGAGCAAGGGAGUGCAUCACUGUGCUUUGAAAGAUGAAUCUGGCUACAGUGUAUAAAAUAAUCAGAAAGGUAAUAGAUGGAAGGAAGGGGGAGAACCAGUAUGAUGACAUCAUUCAUACUUCAAACAAGAGUCCAUGAACAACUGAAGAAUGGAAAUGUCAAUGAAAAUGAAUACGCAGUAGUCGACUUGGGUGGUUAGAAUGCGUAGGAAAUAGUCAUUGGUACCUGGUUACCAAGGCUGUAUGAGAGAGAGAGACAGAAACCGUAGAGAUGCCUCCAAGAUUUAGCUCAGAAGAGGGGAAGGGACUGCGGGAGAGCAGCAUUACCAAGAGGAGUGAAGCGAGGCUAAGUUUGAUUGGGGGAUGGGCAGAGGAGGUAGUGGGAAGGGAUGAGGAUUCAUGUUCUGAAUUCAUCGAGGUUUUGACCUACACAUCAGCUGUCCAGCUGGAGAUGGCUAGCAGGUGACUGGCAAUAUAGAAUAAGCUAGUAGAGGAAGUCAGACUGUUAGGACAACAUUUGAAUAAAUAGCCCUGGGAACUUAGAUUAAAAGUCAGUGCUUGAUGAGGCAGUGAGUACAGAUAUGGUUUUGGCAGUGUAAGUAAACCAAAUACCACGUGUAGGUUGAGGGAUUGAGGGGGCUGAGGGAUUUCUUUUUAGGAAAGUAAGAUGGAUAGCCGAACGUGUUCUCACCCUGAGGGAAAAGAGCCAGUACAGAGGACAAGAUGAAAGAUAGGAGAGAGGAAAGUAAUGCUUCUGAAAUUCCAUUUCGGUUACCAUGGCAUUGGUUAAAAUUGAAAUUAAGACCCUCAAAUGGCUACUAAACCUGAAUUACUAAAUUGGUAAUAAAGGCCUAAUGAAAGUAUUAGGAUUUGUACCAUUAGACCAUAUACAUGGAAGAGUUGAUAAGAUCCUCCUGGGAAGAAACCAGUGGAUAUAACUGAGCCUGAGCAAAUAAACAAACUGACUUUUAAAUACAAAGCAGGCACAGUUAACUUCCAUAAUCCUGGGUUGACAAUGAAUUAAUAAAUACUGGGUAGAUUUCUUACAAAAACUUCUCUUCCAUGUUCAUCAGAUAUUUCUGGUAUCCAUCUAGGAUAGUUGGCAUACGAGAAGCUAUGUAGUUAUACAAUUCUGAGUUAUAUUUUUGUGGUUUAUACUUUCCAUGGAGAAAUAUGAUAGGAUAAUGUAUUGGUGGGGUGUUUAUUUGUGUAUUUCAUUUUUUUAGCCUACCUGUGAUUUGCUUACUUUGUUAGUUUUCAGAAUUAAAAGCUUGAACUUUGCUAAGAAAGCAUUUUGUGUGUUUUGGUUUGUAAAUAACACCUAAUGUAAAGUCACUAGCAUAAAAUUCAUUUGGACUUUUCAAGGAAGGUGGUUGCAAAGCUUGAGGAUUCAGAGAAAGAAACUGGUAUGCUUUGUUCAGUGAAAAGCUGCCAAAUUUAUGAGGAAGUGCAAUCCAAAAAUGUUGAUAAAUUGAUUUCAUCUAAAUAUGUUCCCUAGUGCCCUUUAGUCUUCUAUAACUUGUUAGAAUCAACCUUGUGCAGCAUGAAUAAAACCUAAAUGCACAACCUAACUAAGGCUCUUUCUGCUUUCUCUGAAUCACCUAAAUAUAUUUCACCUUCAUUCCAUGCAUACACAUAUGACAAAAAUGACGGAGCAACAUUUGAAUGUUGUAUCAUGAUUUUGAAACCAUAAACAAAGUUGGAGGUUUUAUAAAACCCUGUCCUAAAGCUGAAAUGGAAAAAAUAAAUCCGUAUCUGGCUGAAAAUUUUUCUGUUGACACUGGGCCAAGUAAACAGUUUUCUUCUCAGACAGUAUUUCUGUAGCUGCAUCACACAUAUUAUGGCCUAACCGUGGCCAGGAAAUAGUUCGUUGUCAUUGCCUCAAGCUUUAAAAAAAAAAAAAAAAAAAACAAAAAACAGAACCAGAUAUGAACUUGGCAAGUUGCUCUUUAAAAUAUAUUUUAAGCGUUGGGUGUGUAUUUAAAGAAUUAAUUUACAUUUUUUUUUUUUUACUAAUUUUACAUUUUUACAUUUUUAAACUGGUCUCCCUAUUAUCCCUCAUUUUUUUCAAUUUGUUCUCCAUGGUACUGCAAGAAUUAUUGCACUAAAUCUGAAACACCUUAUUAUUACAGCAUCAGUAAUAAAUGCCCAUUGUUCUUAGCAUGGCUUUCUGAAUCAUCUAUAGAUUUUCUGUUCACAUGUUACCUCUCCAACAUCCUCUAAGUCUGGAUCUCCCUCUCCAUUAAGGACUAGGCUCUGUGAGUAGCCAGCUGGGUGGCUCCACCCCAAACAUGUCAUCUGCUCCCUUUCCCCACUUUUUGCAUUUCUUCUUCCCCCUUGAGAACAAACUUAAGGAUUGUAUUUCACGAGAAGUUUCGUUUCUAUUAGUUCAAAGUAAUUUCUCUUGGAAAAUUGGUAGUUUGGGUAACAACGGACUUAUACAUGAGAGCAGCUGCCUGGAAGUGAGCAGAUGUCCCCCUGUGCUGCUGCUCGCCAAGAUCCUGACCAGUUUCGUGGUGUUCCCAACACUGAGCUUGUCUCUUAUGUGCCAUCAAGUUUUGUGCUGCUGUUUUUCUCUUACACAUCACUUUGUGCAUAUGGUACCUGCAUUUCAGUUUGCAGCCUCUGGUGUAUAUAUAGCUUACGUCUGAGUAGAUCAUAAUGCGAUUUAAUCUACACAGAGGAAACACUUUACCAGUUUCAGUGGCACAGUGGGAAGAAUGGGGGUGGGUGGGAUGGACCGAGGUGGGGUGCUGGUUUGUCACCAAGAGUAGGGCUGUUGGGUGCAGAUGUGCUUGGCACAAGAGCAUUACAUCUGAGUGAUGUGAUUCUCACUGUAGAGACCAGAGAUUUGUCCAGACUAAUCGUUGGUACAAUGAUUUGUCAGUUUAUACUCUGUUUCUUCAAAUGAUUUCCAAGAAAAGCCAUAUUUUGAAUAAUAUUGUUAACCUUUAUCUUUCUGUCUUUGAAUUCACAGCUCUGUUUGGUCGUUUGACUAUAAACGUGAUCUUUUUUAUCGUUGUAAAAUACAUAUCAAGUGAAAUGUAUCAUUUUAGCCAUCUUUAAGUGCACAACUCAGUGGCAUGAAGUACAUUCACAGUGUUGUGCAACCAUCACCACUAUCCAUUCCCAGAAUCUUUAUAUCAUCUCAAACUAAAACUGUUACCCAUUAAUCGAUAAUUCUUCAUUCCCACCCACCCCCAGUCCCUGGUAACCACCAUUCUACUUUGAUCUCUGUGAGUUUGACUACUUCAGUCUCUUCAUGUACAUGGAGUUAUAUGAUGUUUGUCCUUUUGUAUCUGGCUUAUCUCAUUUAGCAUUUAUAUAUACAUUUAUAUAUUGAUAUAUAUAUAUAUAUAUAUAUAUAAAUUUAAAUUUAUGUGUAAAAUUUAUAUGUAUAAUUUAUAAAAGUAUAUACUUAUAUUUAGGUAUGAUAUAAACUAAUAGCUUUUGGUUCCAUAUUGGCCUUUUUUUUCUUUUAAAAAUGUUUAUUUUUGAGAGAGAGAGAGAGUGAGCACACCGUUGGGAGAAGGGACAGAGAGAGAUGGGGACAGAGGAUCUGAGGUGGACUCCUUGCUGACAGCACAGAGCCUGAUGAGGGGCUCAGACUCAUGAACUGUGAGAUCAUGGCCUGAGCCAAAGUCUGGCACUUAACCAAUUGAGCCACCCACGUGCCCCUUUUUCUUUCUUUUUAAAAAAUUGUGCAUGGUAUGCAGAACAUAAAAUCUACCACCUUAACCAUUUAAAAACAUUUUUUUAAACAUUUACUUAUUUUUUUGAGAAACAGAGAGACCGAGCACAAGCAGGGAAGGGGCAGAGAGAGGAAACAGAAUCUGCAGCAGGCUCCAGGCUCUGAACUGUCAGCACAGAACCUGACGCAGGGCUCAAACCCAUGAACUGUGAGAUCAUGACCUGAGCUAAAGUCAAAUGCUUAACCCACUGAGCCACCCAGGCACCCCUUAACCAUUUUUAAAUGUGUGCUUCAGUGAUAUUAAAUACAUUAAUGCUGUUGUGCGAGCAUCAUCACCAUCUGUUUCCACAAUUCUUUUUGUCUUAAACAACUGAAACUCAGUGCCUGUUACAAAGAAGCCCUUCAUUCUCCCUUUCCCCCAGACCCUGGCAAUCAUCAUUCUCUUCUCUGUCUCUGUGAUUUUGAAUACUCUAGGUACCUCAUAUAAGUAGAAUCGUGCAGUAUUUGUAUUUUUGUAACUGGCUUAUGUUGCUUAGAGUGUCCUCAAGAUUCAUCCAUGUUGUACCAUGCAUCAGAAUUUCCUUCCAUUUUAAGGGUAAAUAAUAUUCCAUUGUGUGUCUGUAACACCUUUUGCUUAUUUGUUUAUCUGUUGAUGGACACUCGGCUUGUUUCUGCCUUUUGGCUAUUGUGAAUAUUGCUACCAUGAGCUUGGGUAUACAGUAAGUAUACAGUAUCUAAGUCCCUGCUUUCAAUUCUUUUGGAUAUAUAUAUAGAGAGAGAUUACUCUUUUUUUCAGUUUAUUUAUUUAUUUUGUGUGAGAGAGAGCACAAGCAAGGGAGGGCAGAGAGAGAGGAAGACAGAGAAUCCCAAGUAGGCUCCAUGCUGUCAGUACAGAGCCCGAGGCGGGGCUUGUGAAAUCAUGACCUGACUGAAAUCACAAGUUGGACUCUCAACUGACUGAGCCACCCAGGUGCCCCUAUAUGACUUUUUAAUCAUAUCUAUUAUUCAUCUCCCAGAGCUCUUGUCCCAAUGUGUAUUUCUUGUGAAAUCUGUAUGCAUAUAGCAUUCUUUUAUUAUUUGUGCUACUGGGAGGAGGUUGAUAUAGAACUCCAGUGCUAGAAACUUCCAUCUGAAAACACUGGUUCCUAUCCCACAAGAAUUCCACAAAGCUUUCAUCUUUAAAGCUCUGCUGGGCUGUUUAAAUCAUGUUUCUUUAGAACUUCCAACAUUUUUAGCUUUUCCCUGAGUUUUUCUCUGGUAGACAUGCUUUAGGUAAAGCUCCUUCAUUUAUCAGUUGCUGUCUGAACUGGAUUUUGUGACUCACUGACUUAUGAUCUACACUGAACCAUGUAAAGAGAGGACAUGAAAAUGUUCAGUUGAUUUUAUUUUGGUUGGUGUUGAGAUGGGAGAUUCUGACUCUGUAGUGACGUUUGAGUUCCCACUCUGAGUGCUCUGAGAUAUUAUGGAUCAGAUAAUUCACCACCUCCAUCUCUUUGGGAUACAAAGAGAUGCCAUCCUCGGAGAGGAGCACACAUGCCUUUGGAGAUGGGAGGAUCUGGGGGAAGGACUGGUUUAACCAAUCAGGAUGCUAACUUGGUUGGACAUUCUACCUGUAAUACAUCGUGCAUCUGUAGACUGCGUGAACAAGACUGAAGCUGUUAAAUUUGACUGUCGUGCCUGUGGAGAACCGGUCAUUCCAUAUGUAGCUCUCUUUCUGAAGUUUUCUUUUAUGCUGAGCAUGGGAACUAGUAGCACUUAGUCCGAUUUUUGAAGAUCCUUACUUUUAACUACAAGGUACAAAUCUUCAUUGCUUAUCUUCAAUUUCAAUGUGAUGUAUGGGCAGAGUUUUUACAGAUUUACUUAUUUAUUGCUAUCAUUUAUUUUUCAAAAGGUAUUACAUAUAUUUACUUUAAAAAGGUGGAAAGGAUGUGUAGUGAAUGGAACAUUUUCUCCCAUGAGACAGCUGCUACCGCUAGUUUCUCGUGUGUUCCAGAAAUACUCGCUGUAUUGCUUUUUUUUUUUUGUCAGGUACAGCAUACGUACAGAAUGGUGGAUAAAGCAUAUGUGGAAGGUAUAAAGAAUCAUAAUAAAAACAAAGCAAUCAGGAAAAAGUUAUUGCUGGUCCUUCGAAGCUGCCUAUAUGAGCCUCUCCUCUUAAGAUGUAACCACAAUUCUGACUGCUGUGAUAACCAUACUCUGUAUCCAGCAAGGAUGCAGGGACACUGAAUGAUAACUGUUCUUGUUACAUAUAGCAUCUAAAUGUAGAGGCAAAGUCUUCCAAGCACUGAUGUAUUGCUCAUUGUAUUUUUUUUUAAAGUGUUUUAUUUUUUUUUUAAUGUUUAUUUUUGAGACAGAGAGAGACAGAGCAUGAAUGGGGGAGGGUCAGAGAGAGAGGGAGGCACAGAAUCUGAAACAGUCUCCAGGCUCUGAGCGGUCAGCGCAGAGCCCGACGCGGGGAUCGAACUCACGGACUGCGAGAUCAUGACCUGAGCUGAAGUCGGACACUUAACCGACUGAGCCACCCAGGCGCCCCGCUCAUUGUAUUUUUUAACCACACUGCAGAUGCUUCCAUGUGAUGACAGUGCUUCUCCUCAUCUGAGCUGAGACUUUGCUCCUCCCUUAGCCAUGACAUGAUUUAGAUCUUUGAAAAGCUUUUCCACUUAUAAGAGCACUUUAAAAUGUAACACAUUCAUGUGAUUUUAGACAUGUUGCACACCUGCUAAUGUAGAAUGGUGAUUCGGAAAAUGCAAGACGAUUAUAAAAUUUUAGAGCAUUCAAAAAUGGCAUUCUGAUUGGAAAUAGCUGCAUUUAUAUAUAAUAUGAGAAGGAUUAAUAUUCAAAAAAGAGAGCUCAGCCUUUUUAAUUUUCAUGAUUUGCAGAGUGCUUGAUAAUAGCAGAUUAUUACUAAAUGUUUAUGGAAUGGUACUGAAUUGAACUCUGUCAAAUGCAUACUUAAGUCAUUCUGUACACCUCUCAUAUCUUGUGCUCUGUUUGGUAGCUUGAAGAUUUGCCUUGAGUUCGGUAUUUAUCAGACUGACUAUAUGUCCUGUGCUACAGUUGUCAUACUUCUUUGUCUCUUACUCCCAGUCAGUAUCCUAAGAAGACUUUGGGUUUCUUUUGCUUUGUGUGAGGCAAGAAAGAAGAAAAGGGAGUCUGGGGCACCUCAGUGGCUCAAUCGGUUAAGUGUCUGACUUUGGCUCAGGUCAUGAUCUCGUGGUUCCUGAGUUCAGGCCCCACGUCGGGCUCUGUGCUGACAGCUCAGAGCCUGGAGCCUGCUUCAGAUUCUUUCUCCUUCUUUCUCUACUUCUCCCCUUCUUGCUCUCUCUCUCUCUCUCUUUCUCUCUCAAAAUAAAUAAAACAUUAAAAAAAAACAGAAAAUAGAGUUUAUUUAUUAUUAUCAUUUUAUUAUUGUUUUGUUUUGGUCCUUCUCUCUUCGUUUCGUCCAUGUCAACGUAUUGGCAGUGAUGUCUCCUGACUGUGGUGGAAAUGAAGGUGUGGCUGUUCGGUCAGCUGCAGUGGACACUCUUCUUGGUCCUUGUCUGUUGCUGAGGGUGGAGGACACGUUUUGGGGAUUGCUUUACUAGGAGUAAAAACAAGCAUGUGUGUGUUUAGUGCGAUUGUUUUAUAAGAUGUCAUGGGACUUUUCCCGAGUAAUGUCCCAUUUGGAAUUCCCUCGCUUCAGCUGGCAAACUCGAGCUCUGCUGGUCCUUGGAUAUUGUACCAUAAACUCGUAUGCCAAAUGUUGGAGCAAAGAAAGGAAGCUUGUAAAGAAAUUUCAUUUUACAGAACUUGUAAAGUAUUCAUGGUUCGUCAUUCUUUAAAUUCCAGAAAUGAGGGGGUAAUUUGUGGGGACGAAUAAUUAAGGAAAGAAAAGAUUUUGUGAUGGAAAGGAGGAGCAGGCAGAACGGAGAGGUUGGCAUGUGUAUUGGAAAAUUGUGGUAAUUUAGCAGGUAAUCAAAGACACUGAGAACAGUGCAUGUCAUGAUUUCAAAGGAGUAUAGACUGUUUUCUUUCAUUUCCUCUCCUGUGGAUCUGUUCUCUUCCAGUUUUCCCCCCCUCCCACUUCUUGUUUGUGAGGGCUUCGGGCUCUAUCUUUUUUCCUUGUAUAUAAAAUCUUUUUGUUUUACUUUAAAUGAUAUUUCAGUUGGCAUUGGGAAGAUAAUAAUGUCUUCUGUUUCACUGUAGCAUACUAAUGCUCUGAAAAGAAAGAAAGAAAGAAAAAAAGGAAACUAAUUUAGAAGAAAUAGAAGCUAAAUGUUUCAUGGUGAAGUAAUCCUGAACUUUCCUGAGUAAUCCUAGAGGAUCGAUGUUCAGAUGUUAAGGAAAAAGUCAGACUCUUUGGCUUCUGAGGGACCUGAGGAGGCCCCAGGGUACAUCAAAAUGUUGCAAGAUGUAUUAGAACAUGUAUCUCCAUAAGCUAAGUUCCCUGGAGAUCAUUCAGCCUUUAGAAUAUCUUGAGAGACAGUUGUAGUGAGAAAACUGUUUCCUCCUAACUCAUCCCCUUUUGAAAACAACUUAAAUCUUAGCUGCUCUAAAGGAUAUGAAAAUGAGCGAAUUAGGUUUUCAUUUGCUUUUUGUUUGUUUUUUGUUAUUCACAGUCUGUAUUCUAUCCAACAGUUAAAUCUUUUCUAAACCUUUUUUUCUGAAACUGAAAAAAGAAAUCAAGAAUUGAGAAAUAUUUGUGGCUGCAGUUAGAUUCUCAGAAAGAGGGGGACGUCUCCCCCCAAAUAAGUAGGAAGUAAUAGAAACUUGCAGACAGAUUGAAUUUUUAUCUUGACUGCCUUUUCCCUUGGAAAUUCCAGAAAUAUGAAGAGUGAGGCAAUAGCAAACAUGGCUCCCAUGUCCUUAGACCUUUAAGUGGUCUUUCUUAACAGCAAAGAUAGGCAGUUUUGUAAAACGCUGUUUUUAGUAUUGAACCACAGAAUUCCACUUCCCUUAUGACUGCUAAUAUUUAGCCUUACACAUUUAUUUUCACUCUGUGAUAACAGGCAACAUACCAGUGAUUAGUUUUCACAAGUGUUUGAGGUGUUCUGUAAGAAUACACAUCAUUUUAUGUUCUAAACAUUCACCUUUUUAAGGUUUUUAAGCAAUUAAUAACAUAGUAUAAUUUAGUACGUUGCGAAUACUUCAUUGCAUCUAUGUGGCGAGGCAUUUAACAGAAUCAAUUGGAAGUGUAUAUUUGUAAUUCUUUCGCCUUUUAGUCAGACAGUGUAUUUCUUAAGGAGUAAAGAAACUUGAGAUAUAACCUGCUGCUUCUUCAUUUUGGUCACAAAAAUAUUUUUUCCUCAGAAGUGUGGCAUUGAAUUAUCUAUUGUUUUAUAAUGAGAACAUUAACUCAGAGAACACAUAGUUUCUUUCAGACAGUCUCCAGAAUAAUGAUCAAAAGGCAAAUCAGUACCAUUUAAUGUGCCAUACUGUAUGAAUAUUGUUUUGGGUUUUGUUUGAGGACUCGACUGGAUAUUUUCAGUGAUCUGUUAGGAUAGUUUUCUUUAGUUCUCUUCCCUCCAGUAUGAUACAUUCUUUCAAAAUGAUUUUAUUCAACCUCAGGAAAUUGAGAGAAAGGACAACAUCUUAUUUUGCAGUUCCUUAGAAAAGAUUUCAUCAAUACAUGACUGUCUCAGAAUCUCCAGGGUUGUCAGUAGUAUAAUGUAUGUUAAUAAGGUAGAAGGUUCUGGGGUUUGAUGAGCUGUGAUAGGCAUUCUCUCUGCCCAUUGGUGCCCAGCUGCACAGCUCGGCAUAGAUGCUCAAUCUGGCAACUAGAUCAGGUUGGCCCAGAGGAUUCCCACUGUCCAGCCAGGCAAACUGUUGGAUCUUGCUGUGGUAGCACAGUGCCCAAGCUGGUGGAGCACAAGGAAGACAGAUACAGGCAUGAGAUUUGUUGGUGUAGUCUUUCCAGCGGUUGAGAACUCAGGAACCUACAGCCUAUAAAUAGGGUAAGUAGGCUGGAGAAGCAGGAUUUAGAAAAAAAAUCUGACAGGUAGGAUACCAAGAAGUAUCUUCCAUUCUGGAAUUUGGGCAUAGAAGCUGUUAUCAGUUGGGAGCGCUUCGGGUGCCUAUCACUUUGAAACUGUCUUUUGGGGGAGUGUGCUGGUCAACCAUGUGGGUGACAGCAGGAAGACCUUAACACUAAUUUCCCACAGGGGCACAGCUGGGACAGUUGAGAUUCUUUCUGCCUCUGGAUGUGCUGGCUCAGAUAGAGGGUUUGUGAAGUUGAGAUCAACAAAGACAGUGAAGGAGAGUUUUGACUUAUUAAUAUGUUACUUACUUAUUUUUAGUUUUUAAUUUUAAAAUUACUUUUAAACAUUCUUUUAUUGAGGCAUGCUUGACAGAUUACAUUCGUGUCAGGUGUACUACGUAAAAUUAGAUAUUUGUAUAUAUUGCAAAAUGAUUGCCGCCCUAAAUCUGGGUCACAACCAUCACCAUACACAUUCACAGAUUUAUUUUCUGCGAUGAGAACUUUUAAGAUUAACUCUCUUAGCACAUUUCAAAUAUUCAAGUCAGUAUUAUGAACCCUAGUUGCCAUGUUGUACUUCGCCAUGACUUAUUUUAUAACUGGAAGUUUGUACCUUUUGAUUCCCUUCACCUAUUUUACCACCGCUAGCCUCCAGCCUCUGGCAACCACCCAUCUGUUCUCUGUAUCUAUGAGCUUGGGUUUUAUUUAUUUAUUUAUUUAUUUAUUUAUUUAUUUAUUUAUUGGAUUUUCAGGGGUUUUGUUUAUUUUAGGUUCUACAGAUAAAUAAGAUUAUAUGGUAUUUGUCUUUCUCUGUCUGACUUAUUUACCAUAAUACCCUCAAAGUCCAUCCAUGUUGUCACAAAUGGCAAGAUGUCAUUCUUCCUUAUGGUUGCAUAAUAUUCCAUUACAUGUACAUGUACAUAUAGAUAUAGAUAUAGAUACAGAUAUAGAUGAUAUACACACACACCAUGUUUUUUUUUUUUAUUCAUUCAUUUAUCAGUGGCAUUUAGGCUAUUUCCAUAUUUUGCCAAUAUAUUGUAGCUAAUGCUAUAAUGAACAUAGGGGUGCAUAUAUCUUUUUGAUUUAGUAUUUUCAUUUUCUUUGGAUAAAUAGCCAGGCAUGGAGUUGUUGAAUCACAUGAUAUUUCUAUGUUUACUGUUUUCCACAGUGGCUGUACCAAUUUACAUUCCCACUAACGGAACACAACAGUACAUAAGGGUUGCCUUUUCUCCAUACCCUCUUCAAUACUUCUUGUUGUUUUGAUAAUAGCCAUUCUAACAGGUGUGAAUUGAUAGUUCAUUGUGGUUUUGAUUUGCAUUUUCCUGAUGAUUUGCAGUGUUGGUCAAUCUGUAUUGGAUUGGUAUUGGUCUUUGGAGAAAUGUCUAUUCAGAUCCUCUGUCCCAUUUUUAAAAAAUGAUUUGUUUAUUUUUUUCUUGUUGACUUGUAUGAGUUCUUUAUAUACUUUGGAUAUUAACCUUUUAUUAUAUAUAUGAUUUGCAAAUAUUUUCUCCUAUUCAAUAGGUUGCAUUUCAUUUCUUUGAUAGUAUUCUAUACAGGAGCUUUUUAGUUUGAUGUAUUUUUACUUGUUUAUUUGUGUUUUUGUUGUCUUUGCUGAUGCUGUCAGAUCCAAAAAAAUCAUUGCCAAGACCAAUGUCAAAGAGAUUACUGCCUGUUUUCUCCUAGGAAUUUUAUUAUUUCAGGUCUUACAUUCAAGUCUGUAAUCCUUUUUGAGUUAAUUUUUGUGGAUGGUGUAAGAUAGUGUUCCUCUUUCAUUCGUUUUCUACGUGCCUGUCCAGUUUUCCCUGUACCGUUUAUUGAAGAGACCGCCCUUUUCCCAUUGUAUAUAUUCUUGGCUUCUCUGUCACAAAUUAAUUCACCAUAUAUGUAUGAUUUAUUUCUGGACUCUCUAUUCUAUUCCAUUGAUCUAUGUGCAUUUUUUUUUUAUGCCAAUACCAUACUAUUUUGAUUACUUAGCUUUGCAAUGUAGUUUGAAAUGAGGGAACAUGAUGCCCUCAGCUUUGUUCUUCUUUCCCAAAAGUACUUUCACUGUUCGGGAUCUUUUGUAAUUCCAUGCAAAUUUCAGAAUUGUUUGUUAAGGUUCUAUGAAAAAUCCCUUCAGAAUUUUGAUAGGGAUUACAUUGAAUCUGUAGAUUGCUUUGGGUAGUUUGGUCUUUUUAAAUUUUUGAAUAGCUUUCUUGAGAUAUAAUUCACAUACCAUGUAAUUUAUCCCUCUAAAUUGUACAACUCAGUGGCAUUAAGUAUAUUCAUAUAGUUGUAUAACUAUUACCCUAUUUUUAUUACCCCUAAAAGAAACCUCAUAUCCCUUUGGCAAGAUAUCCUCAUCCCCACAUUCUCCCAGACCCUGGCAACUUCACGUUUACUUUCUGUUUGUGUAGAUUUGCCAUUCUGAGUAUUUCAUAUGAAUUGGACUCAUAAAAUUUGCAAUCGUUUACAAAUGGCUUUUUUCACUUAGCAUCAUAUUUUUAAGAUUUAUUCAUGUUAUAUCUUGUAUUAAUAUUUCUUUUAUUUUUAUUGCUGAAUAAUAUUCCAUCGUGUGGAUAUACCACAUUUUAUUUAUCCAUUCAUCAGUUGAUGGAUAUUUGGGUUAUUUCCAUUUAGGCUAUUAUGAAUAGUGCUGCUAUAAACAUUUGUGCUCAAAUUUUUGUGUGGAUGUGUUUUCAUUUCUCUUGAAUAUUCUACCUAGGAGUAGAAUGCCAGGCCUGUUAAUAUGUUUCAAAUUUUUUGUAUAUAUUUAGGAACCAUGUAAAAUGGUUUGUAAAUACAAUCAGUAGUAAAAUCUAUAGUUAUUUGUGGUUUGCAAUAAAAAGCUUCUUAUGUAUAUUUUAUGUAAUAUAUUUAUAUAUUUAUGUAUUUUGUAUAUGUUUAUGUGUUAUAUAUAUUUAUAUAUAUGUGUAUAUAUAUAUAUAUAUAUAUAAUAAUGGUUUCUGAGUUGAUAGACGUCUCACUGUUAUUAGCUAGCCCUUCUUUUCUAUCCACAUUACUAAAAUAUUUAAUCUUAGUUCUCAAUUUUUGUGGCUGGUAACCUCUUACUCUGUUAUUUUUUUUUAUAGGAAUGGGAUGACUUUUGACACCAUAUGCAGAUGUUUGCUUAUAAUUUAUAUGUACUAAUUUUCAGUACCUUAAAAAUGGUAGUGUAUGUAUGAUAGUAUUUUUAAAAGUAGAAAAUUCUAAGAUACAUUGUUAAAUAUUAAAUAGUAUUAAUAUUCAUUAAUGUGGUUAUUAAUAAACAAUUGUCUUCCUUUGAAAUGCAAA